GUUUUAUCGUGGCAAUUUGUAAAACACAAAUGAAUGGUUGAACACUUGAUCACUUUGAUAUGCAUAUUUUAAACUGAUCUUCCACCAGUUCUCAGCUACGUGUCAGCACGCGUUAUUUGCAUGGAUACACAGUCAACAUUACAAACUUGGCGUUCAGUAUAGCGGUUUACGCGAUAUUUCAUAAUUUUGUUCACUAUGUAUAAAAUUAGUAAUUGUACAGCUUAGUAUAAGUGGCGGGUUUGUCAAUUGUAAAACAGCGCAGUUUACUGGAAUCUAGAAGCCGAUAUCUUUACAGGCAUAUGUUGCAUGAGUAUUCACGAACAUUUUGAAUAACAUAGACAAAAGGUUAAUUUCCUUUAGUCUUUAAAUUGUAUGGCUAUAACUACAUGUAUUUUCCUCUUUC
Molecule: non-coding RNA, 403 nt
Organism: Paramuricea clavata
Lineage: Eukaryota; Metazoa; Cnidaria; Anthozoa; Malacalcyonacea; Plexauridae
Source: the annotation of a GenBank genome assembly